AACGAACGCUGGCGGCAUGCCUAACACAUGCAAGUCGAACGAGACCUUCGGGUCUAGUGGCGCACGGGUUCGUAACGCGUGGGAACCUGCCCUUAGGUUCGGAAUAACUCCCCGAAAGGGGUGCUAAUACCGGAUAAUGUCUUCGGACCAAAGAUUUAUCGCCUUUGGAUGGGCCCGCGUUGGAUUAGCUAGUUGGUAGGGUAAAAGCCUACCAAGGCGACGAUCCAUAGCUGGUCUGAGAGGAUGAUCAGCCACACUGGGACUGAGACACGGCCCAGACUCCUACGGGAGGCAGCAGUGGGGAAUAUUGGACAAUGGGCGAAAGCCUGAUCCAGCAAUGCCGCGUGAGUGAUGAAGGCCGUAGGGUUGUAAAGCUCUUUUACCCGGGAUGAUAAUGACAGUACCGGGAGAAUAAGCUCCGGCUAACUCCGUG
Molecule: ribosomal RNA, 433 nt
Filed under: uncultured bacterium
Lineage: Bacteria
Description: partial 16S ribosomal RNA
Rfam family: Bacterial small subunit ribosomal RNA
Source: RNAcentral